CUUAUCUAAAACAUGUAAUUACUGGGAAAUUCCAGAUUAAUUUCCUGCAAGUUUUAGUUAGUUAACGAUUGUGUUAAACACUUAAGAGAGCAGCUCCUAGAUGACUAAACCUGCUCAGCUGAAAUCAAAUGCUCUCAUGCUUCCCUGAAUGGACACACACAGAGUCUCUUCACCUGAGGAAUAAAGUGUAAGAUCUUCAGAACUUUUAUUCAGGGGAGAAAGGCCCAGGUAGCUGCUGCUGUUCAGCUUAAGGCUAAUCUGACCUUCUAUAACAGGAGUUCAAGUCCCAGAAAUCCCUAGUCCUCCAUCAGAGAAGCAGCUAGUGUGUACUGCUCUCACAGAGAGAAAUAGAUGGGGCGAGUAAAUACUGCACUUUCAACCGAAACAUACAGAUACACAUGUUGGAAUUCAUCAAGAAAACAACCUGACCCAUGGAGAAUGGAGAAAAGCAGGGCAGGACAACCGCCCACACGGGAGAAACAUGGAGCCAGGGGAACCUCCCCAUCCAGGGAAGCCGUGAGUGAAUGAGCGACCCUGCGGACCAAUGCUUCUCCCAUGGAUCGUUGCUACUCUUGGGUCAGGAGAUCCCCUCAUGAACCCACUCCACUAGGGCCUUCAGUCAGAUACACAGAGCUAUGGGGAGUCUUGGCAGAGCAGCCGCUCAGGUACACACGGAGCCCCAGGAGCCUUAGAUAUCCUGGCUUCCUGGCAAAAGUAACUGCUACUCCAGCCAAGUGGGAGGUUAGACCCCCAUACCUACUCCUAUGAAAGGGGCUGAAUCCAGGGGGCUGAGCAGCGAUGAUCUGCAGGCCUCACUUCCAUAGCACUUCAGAGGUCACAGGAUAAGACCCACUGGCUUGGAACUCUAGCCAGCUGCUGGUAGCAGCAUUACACAUCCCUGAGAGGGAGCUCUCAGAGGAAGGGGUAGGCGGCCAUCUUUGCUGUUUCACAGCCUCAGUCCUUGUUGCCUUCAGGCUUUAGAGAGUGCAAGGUGAUCCAUCAGUGACUGGAGUGGACCCCCCAGCACAACAUGGCUGUCCUGUGGAAAAGUGGCCAGACUGCUUUUUUACACAAGUCUCCAAACCUGUUUCUCCUCACUGGAUGAGUCCUCCUGGCCUGGGUCUCCACCCACCCCCUGCCAGGGAUAUUGAGCCAGUAGCAGCUCCAUAAC
This 1171-nucleotide long non-coding RNA is filed under the name Homo sapiens (human). RNAcentral describes it as "HSALNT0316202". Lineage: Eukaryota; Metazoa; Chordata; Mammalia; Primates; Hominidae. The record is from RNAcentral.